This is a long non-coding RNA of Haliotis rubra (blacklip abalone), 287 nucleotides long. RefSeq lists it as uncharacterized. Lineage: Eukaryota; Metazoa; Mollusca; Gastropoda; Lepetellida; Haliotidae. The transcript is spliced from 3 exons. The record is from RefSeq and is a predicted model, not a curated record.
CGAGGACACCUUUCAUCGCGUCAUCUGUCGUUGGCACGUCAGGAAAAGCUGAUGAUCCAUUCAUGAGUCCUUCGUGUGAGAAUCGUACUAAACACUAGGUUACUCCUGUGGGGUCUUCAUCACAACCAUUACGACAAGACUGUGCUGCAGUACCUGUCCGUCCAUUACUGUCUCAAUCACUAAGACCGGCAGCAUCUUGUCAUGCACCUUCAAGGCAGCCAAUCAGACUUGAAAACAGUGUGAUCAAGGGCUAUCAUAAGUUUAAAAUUAGACCCCCGUUAACAGAU